UGGUUCUGGCAUCGAUGAAGAACGCAGCGAAAUGCGAUAAGUAAUGUGAAUUGCAGAAUUCAGUGAAUCAUCGAAUCUUUGAACGCACAUUGCGCCCCUGGGUAUUCCUAGGGGCAUGCCUGUUCGAGCGUCAUUUCAACCCUCAAGCUCAGCUUGGUCUUGGGCCAUGCCGGAAACGGCCGGCCUUAAAACUAGUGGCGGUGCCGCCGGGCUCUACGCGUAGUAACUAUAUCUCGCGUCUGGGUCCCGGCGGACGCUGGCCAGCAACCCUCAAUUUUUUUCUGGUUGACCUCGGAUCAGGUAGGGAUACCCGCUGA
RNAcentral lists this unclassified non-coding RNA (317 nucleotides) under uncultured fungus. Its description in RNAcentral is "partial contains 5.8S ribosomal RNA and internal transcribed spacer 2". The stretch from base 1 to 133 matches the Rfam family "5.8S ribosomal RNA", at positions 22 to 154 of the family's 154-position model. The record is from RNAcentral. Lineage: Eukaryota; Fungi.